This 497-nucleotide unclassified non-coding RNA is filed under the name Hevea brasiliensis (rubber tree). Lineage: Eukaryota; Viridiplantae; Streptophyta; Magnoliopsida; Malpighiales; Euphorbiaceae. The record is from RNAcentral.
GGCGACGCAUAUCUCAGUAUUGUGAACUGCUCACUUAGUACAUCAUCUACAGAUCUACUUAGCUUUCUUUCUGAGAUUACAGAGACCGUCUCUCAGGACUGAGUUUAGUGAAGGACAGCUUCUCCAUUUCCCCUUUUUGUGGUGUUUCUCUAUUCCUCUCUUUCUCCGGUGUCUGAGAAAUCCGUGUACUGAGCUGCUUUCGUAACCAAGAAAUGAACUUUGGGAGACUAAAGAAUGUGGUAGCUGCUGCAGCCAUUGAAGGGUUGGCUGAAGCAAGGGCCAGGAUAUUUGGUCAUGUGCUUAAUCCAACCGGGCAGAGAUCAUCCCACAAGGUUUUACGCAAGAAGCUCAUCGGUGAGAAGGUUUCACAAUGGUACCCACAUGAUAUCAUGAAAGAUGAUCCUCUUGUGAUGGCACGUCAAGAGCAAGAGCGCCUGAGCAAGCUUGAAAUGCUUAGACGUCGUGGAAAGGGACCUCCUAAGAAGGGUCAAGGCAAG